This 2132-nucleotide long non-coding RNA is filed under the name Homo sapiens (human). RNAcentral's name for it is "long independently transcribed non-coding RNA 2955, transcript variant 7 (LINC02955)". Lineage: Eukaryota; Metazoa; Chordata; Mammalia; Primates; Hominidae. The record is from RNAcentral.
ACACGCUUCCCCACUGAGGGAAGACCAUGUGACUAUACAACAGGAAGGUAGUUGUUUACAAGCCAGGAAGAGAGCCCUCACCAGAAACCAAAUUGGCUGGCGCCUUGAUCAUGGACUCCUGGGCUCCGGAACUGUAAGAAAAUUUGUGUUGUGGAAGCCACCCAGCCCAUGGUAUUUCGUUAUGGCAGCCUGAGCAGAGGUGGUAGCUAUGUGGACAGUUUUUGGACUUCUCUAUUAUGAGAAAACAGAAGCAAAGGCAGAAAGAUGCUACAUUGCCAGCUUUGAAGAUGGAGGGAAGAGGUCACAAACCAAGGAAGGCAAUGAGGACGUUGCACAAGACAGUCCCUGAUACCCAGAGUUUACUGCCUAAGAGAGGAUACAUCCUUCAAACCAAUAAUCUGCUAAUAGCAAGAUCCAAUAGCUUCAUGGAUAUUGAAAGAAACUGAGAAUCAAAUUUGCAUACUUCUGAGUCACUUGGAAACAAAAAACAAGUACAGUCUUAGAUUCUGAGGGAACAAAAAUUAAAAAUCACAUUAGGAAGAGAAUUCCUAAUGUAGGAACUCAUCCUGGAAGAUUCUUCAGCAAAAGUACAGACAAUAAUAAUAAUACUCCAUGAAGUUACCAUCGAUAUUGAAUGAAUUAAUGAAUGUAAAAACCUCAAAACCCUGCCUGGCCCAGAGCUUUGGAAUGGGUUUGGAUCUACCACUCAACUGCUUUAUGACUUCAGACCAGUUAUUUAAAUUCCCUGAAGCUCAGUUUCCACAUCUUUGAGUGCAGCCCGGAGAGCUGUGAGCAGUGCCACAGGAGGAGAUGACUGGUGAGUGAAAUAAGCAAGAUAGGAGUUGAAGUGUACAUGAAGCAGAGUCCAAGCCUUCUCCUUCUGGAUGUUCAGCUGGAUCAUCCUGACUGCUCCCACUUUCAUCUUGGCUUUCAAAGGCAAGAGGAAAUUAUAAGGAAUAUUCUGAGUGGCUUUCAUCCAGGAGUUCUGUGGGACCCGCAACACCUGGAUGGUAGAUGCAAACAGAUAAAGAAUAUUGGUCACCAAAAGGAGUUCUUUUCAUCAUAGAUCUCUGAAGGUAGACACCUAUUUGCAGACUUCUCAAAGGGCUAUAUGGAUGUGCUCUACUUGUUGGAGGAUUGUCCAUCCACUCUUCUUCCUGUACUUACCAGGACAGAACAGCCGCAACUUCUCAGACAGUUCAUUCUUCUUUUCCUCACCUACUACCAUCUAAGAAAGGUACUUGAUGACUGUGGCUUUAGACAAGAGUCCUUUUCUUACCACAGGGUGGGCAGCACCAGCUCAUUAGAACCAUUUGUGUGACUGACUGAAGACAGCUCACCUUGGAACACUGCAGGUUGAAGAUCAUCUCUUCUUUUUUUCAUGGUGUUAAGCAUAAUAUGGCGUAAGUGACAUUUUACAAGUUCCAGAGCCUGGGACUCAAGAUGUCUUGGAGAUUCUGUCUUUGCAGUCUUAUAAUGAUGCCCUGAGAUCAUCAUUAAAGAAAGCCAGUCUGGCCUACUGAGGAUGAGAAGCUACAUAAAGGAGAAUGAAGAUUCCCCAGCCAACAGGCAAUAUCAGUGGUCAGAUAUGUGAAUAAAGCCAUGUUGAACCUCUCGGCUAGACGACCCUCCAGCAUAUGAAACCAGCAGAUGAAUAUCCCAGCCUGCCUGAAGAACUGUACAGGAAAUAAGAAAUCAUUGUUUUUUAAGCCACUGGGUUGGUGGGUGGUUUGUUACAUUGAAAUUGUUAACUAAAACAGAAAUUGGUGCAUAGAGGUCAGGUGCUGUCAUAAUAAAAAUCUAAAACAUAUACUGUUGGCUUUGGUGAUGGGAGUGAUUGGUAGCUAAAGAGGCAGUGAAACAAUGAUUAGUAGAUACUGGGAAGUUAAUAAGGAAAUUUCUAUUGGAGGGUGGAGAAAGGGCCACCCUUGUUAUAUAGUGGCCAAAGAAUCAGCAAAAUGUUGCCUGCUGCAACCUGGAAAGUAGAAACUUUUCUUAAACUCACGGAUCUGGCUGGGAGAUUUCCAGGAUGCAUGCAACAAAUGUGAAUCAACUUUGUAUAGCUGUGUAUAAUAAAGUGUGCUGUAUUUGUCCAUUCUGAUGCUGCUAAUAAAGACAUACCUGAGACUGAA